CGCCGAUGGCCCGCGCAAGCGGGAUCAGGUAAGGGUGAAAGGGUGCGGUAAGAGCGCACCGCGCGGCUGGUAACAGUCCGUGGCACGGUAAACUCCACCCGGAGCAAGGCCAAAUAGGGGUUCAUAAGGUACGGCCCGUACUGAACCCGGGUAGGCUGCUUGAGCCAGUGAGCGAUUGCUGGCCUAGAUGAAUGACUGUCCACGACAGAACCCGGCUUAUCGGUCAGUUUCACCU
This 235-nucleotide RNase P RNA is filed under the name Escherichia coli. RNAcentral's name for it is "partial RNase P RNA component class A". It matches the Rfam family "Bacterial RNase P class A", at positions 127 to 367 of the family's 367-position model. From Rfam's summary of the family: Ribonuclease P (RNase P) is a ubiquitous endoribonuclease, found in archaea, bacteria and eukarya as well as chloroplasts and mitochondria. RNAcentral also lists the same sequence under 1 other name. The record is from RNAcentral. Lineage: Bacteria; Pseudomonadati; Pseudomonadota; Gammaproteobacteria; Enterobacterales; Enterobacteriaceae.